Coffea eugenioides is the source of this 208-nucleotide long non-coding RNA. RefSeq lists it as uncharacterized. NCBI's taxonomy places the organism in Eukaryota, Viridiplantae, Streptophyta, Magnoliopsida, Gentianales, Rubiaceae. The transcript has 3 exons. The record is from RefSeq and is a predicted model, not a curated record.
UUUGUUUGUUUGAAAAAGAAAGUGGAAGGUUGUAUGUUUCUCUAAUGCUUCUCAAAGAUGACUCCGGAUCAGAGUCCAAAAUUUGGAAAUUUUCUUCUGUCCUUUCCAAGAACUACUCCAGAAUAUAGCAGCACAACUCAAUACCGUAUCCAGCCUACUUUGUGUAAAAUUAAAGAGGUUACAUAGGACUUUAUCACUUAUUACUUUU